AUUGAACGCUGGCGGCAGGCUUAACACAUGCAAGUCGAGCGGGGUGAUGGUGCUUGCACUAUCACUUAGCGGCGGACGGGUGAGUAAUGCUUAGGAAUCUGCCUAUUAGUGGGGGACAACAUCUCGAAAGGGAUGCUAAUAACGCAUACGUCCUACGGGAGAAAGCAGGGGAUCACUUGUGACCUUGAGCUAAUAAGUGAGCCUAAGUCGGAUUAGCUAGUUGGUGGGGUAAAGGCCUAACAAGGCGACGAUCGGUAGCGGGUCUGCGAGGAUGAUCCGCCACACUGGGACUGAGACACGGCCCAGACUCCUACGGGAGGCAGCAGUGGGGAAUAUUGGACAAUGGGGGGAACCCUGAUCCAGCCAUGCCGCGUGUGUGAAGAAGGCCUUAUGGUUGUAAAGCACUUUAAGCGAGGAGGAGGCUCUUUUGGUUAAUACCCAAGAUGAGUGGACGUUACUCGCAGAAUAAGCACCGGCUAACUCUGUGCCAGCCGCCGCCGUAA
This 503-nucleotide ribosomal RNA is filed under the name uncultured bacterium. RNAcentral's name for it is "partial 16S ribosomal RNA". It matches the Rfam family "Bacterial small subunit ribosomal RNA", at positions 30 to 523 of the family's 1533-position model. The record is from RNAcentral.